GAUGAACGCUAGCUACAGGCUUAACACAUGCAAGUCGAGGGGAAACGAUGAGAGAGCUUGCUCUCUUAGUCGUCGACCGGCGCACGGGUGAGUAACGCGUAUCCAACCUGCCUCUGACCAAGGGAUAACCCGUCGAAAGUCGGACUAAUACCUUAUGCAGUCGUCGGAAGUCAUCUGAUGACGACGAAAGAUUUCAUCGGUGAGAGAUGGGGAUGCGUCUGAUUAGCUUGUUGGCGGGGUAACGGCCCACCAAGGCGACGAUCAGUAGGGGUUCUGAGAGGAGGGUCCCCACAUUGGAACUGAGACACGGUCCAAACUCCUACGGGAGGCAGCAGUGAGGAAUAUUGGUCAAUGGGCGUAAGCCUGAACCAGCCAAGUAGCGUGCAGGAUGACGGCCCUAUGGGUUGUAAACUGCUUUUAUGCGGGGAUAAAGUGAGGGACGUGUCCUUCAUUGCAGGUACCGCAUGAAUAAGGACCGGCUAAUUCCGUG
RNAcentral lists this ribosomal RNA (490 nucleotides) under uncultured bacterium. RNAcentral's name for it is "partial 16S ribosomal RNA". It matches the Rfam family "Bacterial small subunit ribosomal RNA", at positions 28 to 507 of the family's 1533-position model. The record is from RNAcentral.